Molecule: ribosomal RNA, 533 nt
Filed under: uncultured bacterium
Lineage: Bacteria
Description: bacterial SSU rRNA
Rfam family: Bacterial small subunit ribosomal RNA
Source: RNAcentral
GGCCUUGGUAGCGCAGCUAACGCGUGAAGUUGACCGCCUGGGGAGUACGGUCGCAAGAUUAAAACUCAAAGGAAUUGACGGGGACCCGCACAAGCGGUGGAUGAUGUGGAUUAAUUCGAUGCAACGCGAAAAACCUUACCUACCCUUGACAUGUCUGGAAUGCCGAAGAGAUUUGGCAGUGCUCGCAAGAGAACCGGAACACAGGUGCUGCAUGGCUGUCGUCAGCUCGUGUCGUGAGAUGUUGGGUUAAGUCCCGCAACGAGCGCAACCCUUGUCAUUAGUUGCUACGAAAGGGCACUCUAAUGAGACUGCCGGUGACAAACCGGAGGAAGGUGGGGAUGACGUCAAGUCCUCAUGGCCCUUAUGGGUAGGGCUUCACACGUCAUACAAUGGUCGGGACAGAGGGUCGCCAACCCGCGAGGGGGAGCCAAUCCCAGAAACCCGAUCGUAGUCCGGAUCGCAGUCUGCAACUCGACUGCGUGAAGUCGGAAUCGCUAGUAAUCGCGGAUCAGCAUGUCGCGGUGAAUACGUUC